UGCCACCUGAGAUCCUGAGACAUAUCCUCAUGAAUGUGGUCAAAGAAGAUGGAGAUGUGGCCUUCUUCAGACUGUCUCUGACGUGCUGGCUUUUCCAUGAUGUUUUUUGUGAUACAUCAUUCAGAAAAGAGGCUUAUUUUGCCUGGCUUGACAGUGUUGUUGACUGGAGUGCAUACUCCAGAGACUUCAAGGAGAUUUACAGAGUGCCAAAUAAAGUGACCAGUUGCCUUUGUUGUGGGGACUUAUUUAAAGACUUCCCGCCAGGCUAUAUUGGCGAUGGAAGGA
Molecule: long non-coding RNA, 285 nt
Organism: Carassius carassius (crucian carp)
Lineage: Eukaryota; Metazoa; Chordata; Actinopteri; Cypriniformes; Cyprinidae
Exons: 2
Source: RefSeq, a predicted model, not a curated record